Molecule: ribosomal RNA, 346 nt
Filed under: uncultured fungus
Lineage: Eukaryota; Fungi
Description: SSU rRNA
Rfam family: Eukaryotic small subunit ribosomal RNA
Source: RNAcentral
GUAGUCAUAUGCUUGUCUCAAAGAUUAAGCCAUGCAUGUCUAAGUAUAAGCAAUUAUACCGUGAAACUGCGAAUGGCUCAUUAAAUCAGUUAUCGUUUAUUUGAUAGUACCUUACUACUUGGAUAACCGUGGUAAUUCUAGAGCUAAUACAUGCUGAAAACCCCAACUUCGGGAGGGGUGUAUUUAUUAGAUAAAAAACCAACGCCCUUCGGGGCUUCUUGGUGAUUCAUGAUAACUUUACGGAUCGCAUGGCCUUGCGCCGGCGACGGUUCAUUCAAAUUUCUGCCCUAUCAACUUUCGAUGGUAAGGUAUUGGCUUACCAUGGUUUCAACGGGUAACGGGGAAU